GAUGAACGCUAGCUACAGGCUUAACACAUGCAAGUCGAGGGGUAACAAGAGAAAAGCUUGCUUUUUUGUUGACGACCGGCGCACGGGUGAGUAACGCGUAUCCAACCUGCCUAUAACUAGGGAAUAACCUUGCGAAAGUAAGACUAAUACCCUAUGAUUUCCUUUGAUGGCAUCAGAUUAGGAAUAAAGAUUUAUCGGUUAUAGAUGGGGAUGCGUCUGAUUAGCUUGUUGGCGGGGUAACGGCCCACCAAGGCAACGAUCAGUAGGGGUUCUGAGAGGAAGGUCCCCCACAUUGGGACUGAGACACGGUCCAAACUCCUACGGGAGGCAGCAGUGAGGAAUAUUGGUCAAUGGGCGGAAGCCUGAACCAGCCAAGUAGCGUGCAGGAUGACGGCCCUAUGGGUUGUAAACUGCUUUUAUACAGGAAUAAAGUUAGCCACGUGUGGUUAUUUGUAGGUACUGUAUGAAUAAGGACCGGCUAAUUCCGUGCCAGCCGCCGCGGUAA
Molecule: ribosomal RNA, 505 nt
Filed under: uncultured bacterium
Lineage: Bacteria
Description: partial 16S ribosomal RNA
Rfam family: Bacterial small subunit ribosomal RNA
Source: RNAcentral